RNAcentral lists this ribosomal RNA (497 nucleotides) under uncultured bacterium. RNAcentral's name for it is "partial 16S ribosomal RNA". It matches the Rfam family "Bacterial small subunit ribosomal RNA", at positions 28 to 507 of the family's 1533-position model. The record is from RNAcentral.
GAUGAACGCUGGCGGCGUGCCUAACACAUGCAAGUCGAGCGAACAGACGAGGAGCUUGCUCCUCUGACGUUAGCGGCGGACGGGUGAGUAACACGUGGAUAACCUACCUAUAAGACUGGGAUAACUUCGGGAAACCGGAGCUAAUACUGCAUAAUAUAUUGUACCGCAUGGAUCAAUAGUGAAAGACGGUUUUCCUGUCACUUAUAGACGGAUCCGCGCCGCAUUAGCUAGUUGGUAAGGUAACGGCUUACCAAGGCAACGAUGCGUAGCCGACCUGAGAGGGUGAUCAGCCACACUGGAACUGAGACACGGUCCAGACUCCUACGGGAGGCAGCAGUAGGGAAUCUUCCGCAAUGGGCGAAAGCCUGACGGAGCAACGCCGCGUGAGUGAUGAAGGUCUUCGGAUCGUAAAACUCUGUUAUUAGGGAAGAACAAAUGUGUAAGUAACUAUGCCCGUCUUGACGGUACCUAAUCAGAAAGCCACGGCUAACUACGUG